UCAUUCUCUGCGAAGGAGUUUGCUGAAAUGAGUGGACGAGGGAAAACCGGAAAGGCCAAGAGCAAGCCCAAGUCUCGCUCGUCCCGGGCCGGACUGCAGUUCCCGGUGGGCCGUGUUCACAGGCUCCUGAGAAAGGGUAACUAUGCUGAGCGGGUGGGUGCCGGAGCCCCGGUCUAUAUGGCUGCUGUGCUCGAGUAUCUGACGGCUGAAAUCCUCGAGUUGGCCGGUAACGCGGCCCGGGACAACAAGAAGACCCGCAUCAUCCCCAGACACCUGCAGCUGGCCGUCCGCAACGACGAGGAGCUCAACAAGCUGCUGGGAGGGGUGACCAUCGCUCAGGGCGGGGUGCUGCCCAAUAUCCAGGCUGUGUUGUUGCCCAAGAAAACCGGCGGGUCCACCAACCCCAAGGCCAAGUAAAGAGAAAGCGACAAUUUAAAAACCCAAAGGCUCUUUUCAGAGCCACUCAGAUUGUCUGUGGAAGGGCUGAGCACCGACUGGGGUGAGUCCGGGGGUUUACCGUUCAGAGUGUCUGUCGUAGACAACCGUCUUAAACUCUCAAAGCUACCGCAGUUAUCUGCACAGAGCGCCCUCUCAGCCCGGACUCUCUCCCAUUCCCGAAUUGCCUAAUUUUACCAGAAAAUAAAGACUUUUCCGCUGUCGUCCCGAUUUCCUGAAUGAAUGUAGAGUGGCGAUUGGUGGUAAAUCUGUUGAUGAAUGAAACAGCCCAAUGAGAGAGCAGCCUCAUUCACCAAUUAACAGGCGGCAACAGGAAAAGCGCCAAAACUGACCGCCAGACCACCGAGAUCGUGACAUUUGUAAAGUCCACCGAAAGGAAAGUUAUUUUGUAGAAUAGUUCAAAAGCACCCACAAAGUAAGGAAACAAUAUAAUCUAUGAAAAAACACACAUAACAAAG
This is an RNA transcript of Mobula hypostoma (lesser devil ray), 914 nucleotides long. It is a transcript of the gene named histone H2AX-like, with no coding region annotated. The transcript has 2 exons. Lineage: Eukaryota; Metazoa; Chordata; Chondrichthyes; Myliobatiformes; Myliobatidae. The record is from RefSeq and is a predicted model, not a curated record.